CCUGGAACACAUAAGGUACAAAUCACAGAAUCACUAGAUUGGAAGAGACGUUUAAGAUCAUCAAGUCCCACCUAUGCCCUAACUCCACUCAACUAAACCAUGUCACCAAGUGCUACAUCCUGUCUUUUUCUUACCAUCCAGAGAUGGUGACUCUACCAUCUCCCCGGGCAGACAAUUUCAGCACUUUAUCACUCUUUCAGUAAGAAACUUUUUUCUAACAUCCAACCUAUAUUUCCCUUGAUGCAGCUUGAGACUGUGACCUCUGGUUUUGUCAGUUGCUGCCUGAAGAAAGAGACCAACCCCCACCUGACUAUAACCAACUUUCAGGAAGCUGUAGAGAGUGAUAAGAAGGAUAAGCUCUCAAAGCAUAACGCAACAAUCCUCCUUUGGUCUACAAGAGACGAAAUUGAAGGAAAUUUAAUGCAAGCAUUUUUAACAUAAUUCACAUUCAUGGUUUUUGUAUACCACUCCAUAAAGGAAAUUACUUUGUUGUUACCAGGUUUCUGGAUGAAGAUGUUUACUGGUCAUCGCUAUACUGCAAAAAGGCACAAAUACAACGAGGAGAAGUAUUUUGAUUUGCUAUAGGAAAUGAAGAGAAGUGGAAGGAAUGUAACCAUUCUAUCAGCUUUACAGUCUUUGACGUUGUUUUCCCCUCCCCCUCCCCUUGCAUUGCCCACAGCUGUUGAUGUAGAUUUUCCACAUGCAUUUGUUUUCUUUCACUCAAGGGAUAUUAAAGGGAAACUGCACAAUUGCUGUUUACUAAGUACUGAACCAUCU
This is a long non-coding RNA of Vidua chalybeata, 777 nucleotides long. RefSeq lists it as uncharacterized. Lineage: Eukaryota; Metazoa; Chordata; Aves; Passeriformes; Viduidae. The transcript has 3 exons. The record is from RefSeq and is a predicted model, not a curated record.